GCAAUUUUUAUAUUUGUGGACAAUGUGCUUCCUUCUACAGGUGCCAUUAUGUCUGCCAUAUAUGAAGAGAAGAAAGAUGAAGAUGGAUUUCUUUAUGUUACCUACAGUGGAGAAAACACAUUCGGAUCUAAUAUCCCACUGUAGCGUCGUUGUGGGAUUUGCAUUGUUUCUUCCCUUGUUUCAUCAAUUUGAUUCCGUGAGGAUUGUCUGAAUCCCCGGCUGCCCAUAGUUUCAUUGUCCGCCUGAUCAUAAAGUUCCUGCCAGUGAUAUUAUGUACAGUUAAAUAUUGUAUAUAAGCAUGAAGGUGACUUGUUCACUUUCAAUGUUAAAUGUUUCCCAGUCCAUUUUAAGAAAUCCUUCAGUGGAAAUCUAUGUUAUCGGUGGCUAUAUUUCAAGCUUUUUAUCAUGAAUUGAAUAAAUUUAUCAU
This 427-nucleotide unclassified non-coding RNA is filed under the name Hevea brasiliensis (rubber tree). Lineage: Eukaryota; Viridiplantae; Streptophyta; Magnoliopsida; Malpighiales; Euphorbiaceae. The record is from RNAcentral.